This is a long non-coding RNA of Lytechinus variegatus (green sea urchin), 879 nucleotides long. RefSeq lists it as uncharacterized. The transcript is spliced from 2 exons. Lineage: Eukaryota; Metazoa; Echinodermata; Echinoidea; Temnopleuroida; Toxopneustidae. The record is from RefSeq and is a predicted model, not a curated record.
UGUGGCUGAGAAGACGAGGCGAAAACUAUUAUACAUUGUGUAAGCAUAAUCAACACAAUCUCUAGUGAUUAACCUAAAGGUAUUGUCUUCCUUCCCCCACUCUCUCUUCCCUUUUCUUCAUUUUAGAAAAGAUUUGAAAGGCUGUUGUAUGGAUCAACGUCCGCCUCUAAGUAAAAUAUAAUAGGGUGUUUUAUGAACAAAAAGCCAGAUAUCUAAGUUGAAGUAUGCAUUCUUAUAGUACACGUGUAUGUACAAACUAGUAUGGAUAUUUGCAUACAGGUUGUUACUGUUAUAUAAAAAACACAUUGUACGUCAUGAUUUGCCGCUGUAGAAAGAGAGAAAGAGUGGGGGGGGGGUGGAAUUCUGAUUGGUGUAGACAAGGUGCGUUUGGUUCAUUCAUGCUAUACAUCGACCAAUAAAAGUUCAUGAACAAUGUAAUAGGCGGGAAAUGACCAGUGGUGCAUAAAAUCCACGCCUUGUGUUAAGCGGAACCUGUGGAUGUGGGCAAAGGAAUGAAGUGAAUACAAUAAGCUAUAUAAUCGCUUUCUUUCUUAACAAGUUCUUUAAGAUAGUUGGAAAAGUUAAAGAAUGAAAUCGUAUUCUAAGUUAGGACUCUGCCUAAUUAAAUAAAGAGAUUAAGCCGUUGUCAAACAAAGGGUAUUGCAUUUUGGAAUCAAUAAUAAAAUUGGCGGGAAAAAAUCUACAUAGAAGUAAUUUAAAUACAUGUCAAGGACGAGAUUUACAUUUAAUGGUUACUACAUGUACCUGAAUAGAACGUCACUGACAUCAAUAUACAUUCUAUAGUCAUGAUAGUGUGAGGGAGUGGUCCGCCACCCCUCUCUCUCUCUUCCUUUAUAAUUGGCUCAAAGAAUGGUUGUU